Molecule: ribosomal RNA, 305 nt
Filed under: uncultured bacterium
Lineage: Bacteria
Description: bacterial SSU rRNA
Rfam family: Bacterial small subunit ribosomal RNA
Source: RNAcentral
AUGGCCCUACGGGACGCAGCAGUGGGGAAUAUUGCACAAUGGGCGCAAGCCUGAACGAGCAAUGCCGCGUGAACGAGGCAGGUCUUCGGAUCGUAAAGUUCUGUUGAAGGGGAAAAAGAGCGGAGAGAGGAAAUGAACUCCGAUUGAUAUUACCCUUCGAGGAAGUCACGGCUAACUACGUGCCAGCAGCCGCGGUAAUACGUAGGUGGCGAGCGUUAUCCGGAAUGAUUGGGCGUAAAGGGUGCGUAGGCGGCCAGCUAAGUCUGGAGUGAAAGGUAACGGCUCAACCGGUACAGGCUAUGGAA